RNAcentral lists this ribosomal RNA (253 nucleotides) under uncultured bacterium. RNAcentral's name for it is "partial 16S ribosomal RNA". It matches the Rfam family "Bacterial small subunit ribosomal RNA", at positions 524 to 776 of the family's 1533-position model. The record is from RNAcentral.
UACGGAGGGUGCAAGCGUUAUCCGGAUUCACUGGGUUUAAAGGGUGCGUAGGUGGCGCCGUAAGUCAGGUGUGAAAUCUCGGGGCUCAACCCCGAAACUGCACUUGAUACUGCGGUGCUCGAGUACUGGAGAGGAGAUUGGAAUUUACGGUGUAGCAGUGAAAUGCGUAGAUAUCGUAAGGAAGACCAGUGGCGAAGGCGAAUCUCUGGACAGUUACUGACACUGAGGCACGAAGGCCAGGGGAGCAAACGGG